RNAcentral lists this ribosomal RNA (253 nucleotides) under uncultured bacterium. RNAcentral describes it as "partial 16S ribosomal RNA". It matches the Rfam family "Bacterial small subunit ribosomal RNA", at positions 524 to 776 of the family's 1533-position model. The record is from RNAcentral.
GACGAACCGUCCAAACGUUAUUCGGAAUUACUGGGCUUAAAGGGUGCGUAGGCGGCGCGGAAAGUUGGGUGUGAAAUCCCUCGGCUCAACCGAGGAACUGCGCUCAAUACUACCGUGCUCGAGGGAGAUAGAGGUGAGCGGAACUUAGGGUGGAGCGGUGAAAUGCGUUGAUAUCCUAAGGAACGCCGGUGGCGAAAGCGGCUCACUGGAUCUCUUCUGACGCUGAGGCACGAAAGCUAGGGUAGCGAACGGG